CAACAAACGGAAGGAGGUGAUCCAGUGUCUCAUUGUCACGCAUCGCGGUCGUCGGAGACCCGGGUCCUCGCCUUUGAGGGUUUCGCUGCGUAACACCGACGUUCGUCCGGCCCUUGCCGGAACGCGGUCAGGCAAUGGAGGGGUCGCUCGACCGAGCGACCCC
This 163-nucleotide small RNA is filed under the name Prosthecomicrobium pneumaticum. Its description in RNAcentral is "caulobacter sRNA CC2171". It matches the Rfam family "caulobacter sRNA CC2171". Lineage: Bacteria; Pseudomonadati; Pseudomonadota; Alphaproteobacteria; Hyphomicrobiales; Kaistiaceae. The record is from Rfam by way of RNAcentral.